GUGCAGCAGCCGCGGUAAUACGAAGGGACCUAGCGUAGUUCGGAAUUACUGGGCUUAAAGAGUUCGUAGGUGGUUGAAAAAGUUGGUGGUGAAAUCCCAGAGCUUAACUCUGGAACUGCCAUCAAAACUUUUCAGCUAGAGUUUGAUAGAGGAAAGCAGAAUUUCUAGUGUAGAGGUGAAAGUCGUAGAUAUUAGAAAGAAUACCAAUUGCGAAGGCAGCUUUCUGGAUCGUUACUGACACUGAGUAGCGAAAGCAUGGGUAGCGAAGAGGAUUAGAUA
Molecule: ribosomal RNA, 279 nt
Filed under: uncultured bacterium
Lineage: Bacteria
Description: partial 16S ribosomal RNA
Rfam family: Bacterial small subunit ribosomal RNA
Source: RNAcentral